RNAcentral lists this ribosomal RNA (251 nucleotides) under uncultured bacterium. Its description in RNAcentral is "partial 16S ribosomal RNA". It matches the Rfam family "Bacterial small subunit ribosomal RNA", at positions 524 to 776 of the family's 1533-position model. The record is from RNAcentral.
UACGUAGGGUGCAAGCGUUAAUCGGAAUACUGGGCGUAAAGCGUGCGCAGGCGGUGAUGUAAGACAGGUGUGAAAUCCCCGGGCUUAACCUGGGAACUGCAUUUGUGACUGCAUCGCUGGAGUGCGGCAGAGGGGGAUGGAAUUCCGCGUGUAGCAGUGAAAUGCGUAGAUAUGCGGAGGAACACCGAUGGCGAAGGCAAUCCCCUGGGCCUGCACUGACGCUCAUGCACGAAGCGUGGGGAGCAAACAGG